Molecule: long non-coding RNA, 1221 nt
Organism: Dendroctonus ponderosae (mountain pine beetle)
Lineage: Eukaryota; Metazoa; Arthropoda; Insecta; Coleoptera; Curculionidae
Exons: 2
Source: RefSeq, a predicted model, not a curated record
UUCAUUACAAUGGAACUAUAGCUCGGAUCAGAUUAUCCGAUAAUUAGAAAACACAUGAAUAAAACACUGCUAUCGAAUAAUUCAAAUAAAUUAAAUUUUAAAUUACUGUCAAAUAAUUCGAUAGUUCCCAUAGCUAUUUUGUAAAAUCGGCUAUUUAUUUGGAUGAGCUUAAAUAUAAAUGUCAACAUAACCUUAAUAUCUGAUUCACAUAUUAUAAAUAAGUUGUUUACAGUAUGUAUUGUUUUAUACAUACUAUGUAUCUUCUUUCCAAGUAUGUAAUACAUUUUUUUUAAUGCACUUAGCACUUUUACGKGCRAUUAUUAAUAAUGCUGAUAGUCUUAAAAMUAAAAAUUCCAAUUAUUACAUAGGUACUGAURAAUAUACGACAAAGUGAAACRAAACUGAGAAAUCACAAGCAAAAGUUGAUUGGGAUUUUUGGUGCAGUUUCCAAUAAACCAUCGAWCUUUUUUUUWAAUUCUCAGUGGAUUCAACAACGAUUAGAUUAUAUACAUAUUCAAUAGAAUGUUUAGAUCCAACUUCUUUAUCUAUCACGCAGCUGUUCAACGAUAUUGUAUGGAUUUAUAAUGAUAAAUAAUGGCCAACUCAGUUACGUUCACCAUUCAACAGAUUGAAAGAUUCAGCAAUCGUAUUGAAAAUUGCCUCACUGACCAAACUUGUCGGUCGAUUUUCGAAAAAUAUUUGAAAAUUCAGAAAAAUCCUAUGUGGUUGAAUGCUUUCAAGCUAUGGCAAACAGUUAAUUGCACCAAUACCUGGAACGAAGCUGAGAUGCUUUACCUAAUUGAAGAAGUUGAUGAUUUUAGAAAUAAUCCAUUGCUUACCAUCGCAGAGUGUCAACAUAAACUAGACUAUACCAAAGAAGAGUGUUGUAGAAUAUUAGAGAAAUCUUUAAAGGGAUUUUCUAAUUAUUUAAAUAGGUAUCAUAAAGUAGGUGGUUUCUGUUAAGAGAAGCAUCGAUGGAGAUUACAUUACUACCAACUCGUGUGAUACAUCACCAUAUAUUAGUUUCAUUUCGGCAAUUGAAAAUGUAGCUCAUUUGUCAAUUUAAAAAUUCUUUUAUCAUCAAUACACUUGGGAAUCAUUGGACUAUAAAGGGUUUAUCCGUUGUUACUAGAUUUAUUUAUGUUCUUCCACUUAGUAUGAAAUACUAGACGUCCAGUGAUUUUUUGUAAUAUUAUGUAAUAUAGAUAUUAUUUGUUUAAA